GCAAGAUCGUUUUGAUGCCCGUGUUGAUGUUACUUCAUGGUGUGAAUGUGGCCAUUGUUCGUUGGAUCUUGUUGUCAACCCUCAAGAGUGCCGAUGCUGCAUGGAAAUAGAGCAAUGCCGUGGUAAAAUGUAUCAGUUCGAAAUCGAUGAAAGGAAAUGCAUUUGGGAUCACCCUGGCUUUAACGAAGUUUGCCUGAACGAAUUUGUUCUUCAAGCAGCUUCGUUAGGUUUAAAGACCAAAGGUCAUCGCAUGAUACAGACACUUCAUUUUGUAUUUCCUUUAAAACCUUAGUAUAAAUGUAUAUUAUAUAUUGAAAGUUUGCCUGGAUGUAUUAUUGGUUCUCUCAAAUUGUGAAAAUUUAUUAUCUGCAAUAUGUGUAAGUAUAUAAUAAUUGCAACUUGUGCUAACCUGACGCCGCUCUCUUGACGUUGUUGGUGUUUGUGGUUUCUUCCAAAUAGUAGGUACGGCACCAGGUUUGAGCCGUCUAGUCAUACCACCCAAAUGGAAUAAACGCUCAAAACAAUCAUCCGAGAUGUGAUUCGAACAAAUCAUAAAUCGAAUUUUGCGCGAACUCGGAUUAAAGUUUGCGCGCUUCGUCUGAA
Xenia sp. Carnegie-2017 is the source of this 603-nucleotide long non-coding RNA. RefSeq lists it as uncharacterized. The transcript is spliced from 2 exons. NCBI's taxonomy places the organism in Eukaryota, Metazoa, Cnidaria, Anthozoa, Malacalcyonacea, Xeniidae. The record is from RefSeq and is a predicted model, not a curated record.